RNAcentral lists this ribosomal RNA (443 nucleotides) under uncultured bacterium. RNAcentral's name for it is "partial 16S ribosomal RNA". It matches the Rfam family "Bacterial small subunit ribosomal RNA", at positions 338 to 795 of the family's 1533-position model. The record is from RNAcentral.
CCUACGGGAGGCAGCAGUGGGGGAUAUUGGACAAUGGAGGGAACCCUGAUCCAGCGACGCCGCGUGAGUGAUGAAGUAUUUCGGUGUGUAAAGCUCUGUCUGCAGGGAAGAAAGCAAUGACGGUACCUGACCAAGACGCCUCGGCUAACUACGUGCCAGCAGCCGCGGUAAUACGUAGGAGGCGAGCGUUAUCCGGAAUUACUGGGUGUAAAGGGAGCGUAGACGGCUGUGCAAGUCUGGAGUGAAAGGCGGCGGCCCAACCCCCGGACUGCUAUGGAAACUGGAUGGCUGGAGUGCAGGAGAGGUAAGCGGAAUUCGUAGUGUAGCGGUGAAAUGCGUAGAUAUUAGGAGGAACACCAGUGGCGAAGGCGGCUUACUGGACUGUAACUGACGUUGAGGCUCGAAAGCGUGGGGAGCAAACAGGAUUAGAUACCCUAGUAGUC